Caenorhabditis elegans is the source of this 22-nucleotide microRNA. Lineage: Eukaryota; Metazoa; Nematoda; Chromadorea; Rhabditida; Rhabditidae. The record is from Ensembl.
CAUACUUCCUUACAUGCCCAUA